AUCCAUAGCCCCGCGCCCCUCGCUCCUCCCUCCCUCGUCCACCCGAGCCACACGCACACCCAAUCCCCUCCCCUCCAACCCUAGCCGCCCCGCUCCCCUCCCUCUCCACGGAGCCGCCGCCGCCUCCUCCCCUUCUGCCCUGCUCUCCAUCGUGCCGCCUCUUCCUCCUCUUCACUGCCCUCUCCAGCGGCGGCAAAGAACGGCGGCGCUCGAUCCGAUCUGCUGAAGAGAAAAGAUGAGAGAGGGAGAGAGACAAGGAAGGAGAGGAGGGAGAAAGAUAGAGUAAAGAGGAGAGCGAGGUGUGACGACGGAUGAGAGAGGGUGACCGGAAGGAGCGUGACGACCUGCAGACAAAGGGCGGUGGCAGCGCCGCUCGAUUUGAUCUGCGGGAUAGAGAAGAUGAGAGGGAGAGAGAGAAGGAAGAACAUGAGAGGAGGGAGAAAGAGAGAGGAAAGAGGAGAGGGGGUCGACGGCCAACAGGAGAGGACCACCGGAAGGAGUGCCGCCGGCUCGUUGUCUUCCACCGCCGGCGUCGGCCUGCACCGGCGAGGUCGGGCGGGACCUUGCUUCCAGGGCGGCUUGAUCACAGUCUACAGAACAGUAAAAAUGGAGGAUUUGGGGGCUGCUCAGUUUUGGAGUAGCAAACCAUGGAGGAUAUGGGGCUGCACGUGCUUGGAGCAGCAAGCCAUGGCAAAGAAGUACUGCCAGGGGUUGCUGUUUGUUUACUGAAGGGGGUGUUGAUCUGCUGCCCCUUGUUCUACACUCUGUCCAAGAUAGGGAGGCAGAAGAGAGGACAUGUUGAAGAAUCAAGGGGGACAACCACUAUUCAGUUUUUCUUUGUUAUUGCAUUACAGGAUUGUAGGGUGUUCAGAUUUUAAAUGCUGGCAUUGAUCGAGCUGUUAACUAGUUUUUAGUUCUGAUUAGAUGCGAAUCAUGUUUUAAUUAUGAUGAGAUGCAGAAAUUGUUGAGACAGGGCAUGAAUGGUAUAUAUUUUAGCCGUGCUUUUAUUCCCUUUUGCCCUUUCCAAAGGGACUACUCUACUUUUGUUGACCAUUAGUAUAUAUUUUUCAGAUCCAGAUCCAUUUAUCUAAUGAGAGGUGUAUCAGAGAAAUAAAAAAUAUAUUGAACUACAGUUCGUGACUUUAUGCGAAGAAUUCUAAGGGAGCAAGUCAUUUUACUGGGGCUAAUAAACCCAUACCCCGCAUCUUGUCUGCCCCGGGUGCGGAGGCGAGCUUCCCGGCGAUGGCGGCAGCGCUGGAUUCGAUCUGCAGGAGAGACAGGGAGGUGCGGCUUCAAAUGGGAGAGGGUCUUGAGACAGCUUCACAAGUAUUUAUGAUGAUCGUUUGCAUGAUCUUCUGUUUCUAUACCAUACUGUUCUCGUGUCAUCCCGUUAGUUCUUAUAGGGCCUGCAUAUCAGCUGGGAGGAGCAGUGGCAAGCAGCAGCAGCGGUGGCAAGUAGAGGCAGUGGGCAGCAGAAGCCCAUAUGCAUCUGCUAGGCUGCGUGAACUGUAGAUCGAUUGAGUGCCCGACCAGGAUUUAACUUGGCUGCUAUAAGAUGGAGGGGUCCUCAGCCGGAAUCUCCAUCAAUUUGCGUCCUUGGGCCAUAAUCUCCAUCAAAUUCCGUCGAAAUUUGCACGAAGCGUCCAAUGUCGCCACAGAGUUUGCCGGAGGAACAAGAACAUUGGUCCGUCCAGUGUCGCCUGCAGCGGCUACACCAAAGUUGCUAUGUCUGACGAUCACACCAAAUCAGACGCUGCACUUGAACACUAUAAACAACAGAUCAGAUUUGUUGUUGUCCGGAUAAAUGUUCAGUCAUUCCCUGUUGGAACAAUCAAAUCUUGAUGUCGGUUCCCAAUUGAGUUUCCUUCUAUUUACGAACUUAGGGCCACAUGAACAAGGAUCAUGCGGACGCUACAAAACUCAUCGUGCAACACUCAACCUCUGUUAAGGCAAGUACAAUAUAGAGCUUACUUACGUGGUAUCUGGUCAUGAAUGCGACUCUGCAAGAUAUACUAGAAAACAAGUUGUAGCUAUAUUAGUUUGUGAAACAGUUAUACUAUUUAUCUUCUGUUGAUUCCAUACUUAAGUUUCUUUUUGUAACCAAAUAACUGUAGUAUUUUAGUUAUUGGAUUGUGUGUGCUCGGUCACAAUGAUAUAUUUAGUUGAAGAUAGGAAUGUUUUAGUUCAAGCAUAUGAUAACUUGAGUGCAGCAGUAGAUAAACAUUCACUUACAAAUUCUGCUCCAAAUGGACAGUAAUAGUAGUACGUGGGCAGUGUAAAAUGUGUUUUUGUUAGUUCAGUGAAAAUUAGAGAUCAACCUGAUGGUACUUCAUUUUUAUUCUAAUAUGCCAAAUGCUAUUAAGGAAAUGAAGUUUCUUCCUCGAUCAAGUUAUCAGUCCUUGGUUCACUCUUGCCCUUUGCGCUUGAUGAGACGGGUGAGGAGGAGGAGGAGGAGAGUGUGGGGGCAUCUGGAGAGGAGCGAGGGGUGAGAAGAUGAGAGGGAGAGAGAUAAGAGGGACGUGAAGGGGAGAAGAGGGGUGUGGCAGGGCCGGACCUCCUGCCCGGACAAGGCACGCGGCGGAUGCGCGACGUCAUUUCUUUGGGACAUGCUGGGCUUGCUUUCAUCCUAUAUGCGCAAGAUAGAAAAAACAUCAAGUGGAGAUAUGGGGAAAAUCUGGGCUUAAGAAUGGUUGAGUUGUGGAUAUUUUGCUCAAAGCAUUCUGGAGUCAGAGGAAUUAGCUCCAUACACCUUGUCAAUGGUGUUGCUGAACAGGAUACCACAUAAGUUGGGCUGGAUGAUGAAAAUUCUGCUCAAAUAAGAUCUAAGCGCAAGAGUAAAGACAAAUUCAUGAACCUCACACCCAUGAGCUCAGGUUUGUCCAACCUAAACAAAGCACAGACAAUAGAGCUCGUUACCUCAACAUGUGAUAUUAGAGGCACGGAAAAUCAACAAGUUCAAUGCACAAAUAUGGUUGUUGAUCAGCCUACAUGGGCUGGGAAUCUUGUGAGCAAUUCUGGUGAUGUUUCUACAUUUCUUAGAAAGCUAAUUGACCAAGGAAAAGUUAGUGUUGGUGAUAUACAAUCAGAACUGAGUCUCUCAUCUGAAUCGUUGGAAGCUGCUCUUGAGAAAAUUGGGGGCAAAUCAUGGCUGGAGCAUAUGUGAACUUGGCCUCCGGUCAUUUAUUCAGGAGAGGGAGCUACAACGGCAGGAGAAGAAUGCAACAAGGUGCGGUCUUCUGUUCGAUGCCAAGGGCCUAUCUGGCAGCGAUUUCCUCUGUGAGUACUCCACUACAUGCCUUCCGUCGAAUCCUGAAGAUGUUGCUAGCGUCUUGAAGGAUUACUUAUAUUUGCUCCCUAAUUUCCUGGAUUAUACCAAGUGAGUUGGAUCAUCCAGGGUUGGCGAAACUGAUAUUCAAAUUUGUUCUGUUCUUUAGACCAGAUAUUAGCCCUUUCUCUCUAUUUAACAUAUUUCAAGUUCUCAUGUUACAUUAUAGUAAAUAUUCAAUUCACUUCUAAUUUGUAGACAGGUCAUUAGCCUUUUCUCUCUAUUUAACACAUUUCAAGUUCUCAUGUUACAUCAAAAGUACGCUGGUUAGGAUGUUUGCAACAUGCCGUGUGUUGUAAUCUUUGUCCACUGUACAUGCACAGAUUAAAUACUUUCAUUAGUACUUUUACAUAUUUCAAGUUCUCAUUGUUCAGUUUGUUGGUUUAAUAGAGAAUGUUCCUGAUCCUUACUUUCAUAGGUACAUUUAGAAGUCACAAUAGAGAAGGUUCGUAGCCUUGGCUCCAAAGCUUCAAGCUCUUAUAGAAAUUAGAACUGAGGGCCUUUUAAAAUGAGUCCUGCAUAAUAUUGUUGUUCAGUGGGAUGCAGGAUUUUUAUUUGUCUGAUCGGCUAUCCUUGGUGCUGAUUUACGUACCGAUUUCAUCAUCAUAUGACUACAAUAAAGAAGUUGUGUGUAUAAAUAUUUCUAACUGCUGAUGCUUGCAUCAGUGAUUUCAAUUCUGUUGGCCUCCUUAAGAUUGCUUGGGAAUGUGAGGCUUAAAUUUUUUAACCCUGUGCAAUGUGCUUCUCGGGUGUGGAUUUGUGUCUAACUAAUUAACGGUUCUAUUAAUACAGAUAUGUCCUGGUACAUUAUAUGGGUAUUGCAUCGCUUGUAUUUAUAGUAAGUGGAUUUUUCUCAUAUGUUUCAAUAUGUGCCUGAAUAAUAUUAAUGUACACUCUUUCAAUACAUGGUUUACCCUUGGCCUUUGCGCCAUUGGCGCAACUGGUCAUCUAGUCUAACAUAUAAAGCCUCAAGAAGUGCUAGGCACAACCAAUGCCUCGAGCGCACGGUACCACGCGAGGAAAAACCACCGCAUCGCACCGCGCGUGGGGCCACAGCGCACCACGCAAAGGAAAAAAACACCGCUCUGUGCGUCCUCAUCCCCUCCACUCCCUCGACAACGGUGGCGGCGGCCCCCUCUGGUGGCGGAGGAGGAGGGGGGAGAUGGUGGCGCGGCGGCGACCUUCCCCUCAUGCAUCCCAUUCCCUCACGCAUCCCAUCCCCCCUCGUCAUCCCGGAUCCCACCGGACCCGAGGCGUGCGGGCGCGGCGGCGACCUGCAAGGGAAGGGCAACGCUCGAAUCGAUCCAGCGCCAUGGAUCGGUCCCUGCGGGAAAAAGAGAAAAUGAGGGAGAGAGAAGGAAGGAUAGGAAGGAGAAAGAGAGAGGAAAGAGGAGAGGGAGGUGCAGCGUUGACCGACGGCUCGCGCGGUGGUGCGGCAGACGACAGCCUCAGUGGGUGUGAGACGACACCAUGCAGCUCCUGUGCCACGCAACCCUCUCCUCGCAGGCUCAACAGGAGGUUCCCGAGCCAGCUCGGGCCACUGCUACCUCUUCCUCGCCGCCCAACAGGUCGCCGUGCUGGGGGAGCAGGGUAGCAUCGGGUCCACAGCCUGGGGUGGAGGCCUUCCCAACUCGGACUGCGCGUCCUCCUCUUUGCCGCAUCAUCGCCCUGGCCAGCUGAGCACCAACCCGACGGCGACGACAUCCGAUGCCAACACACCGAGGUUAUACUCCAAUCAAACAUGUGAAUAUUUACCAGAGUGCUUCAAGAUCGAUCCAAUGAUCCACUGCCGCUCUGCUGUUGAGACUAAUUUGGACGGGAAUGGUGAUUUCAUGGUUGAUUAUGUUACUUGGUUCUUGCUCUUGGAGUUACUGUGAAUACAUUCAACACUCCUGGUGUGAUGGAGCAUUGCCACUUUCUGAAGGUAGUGGAGGAUGCCCAAAAGAUUCAGAAGAGCGUGAUAGACUGCUUUGAAAAGGAGUCACUUCCUAACCUCAGUGAAGAGGAGAAAAGGAAGAUCCUUCACUUUGUGAUUAUCGGUGGUGGACCUACUGGGGUUGAAUUUGCCGUGGAGUUGCAUGAUUUUCUUGUCGAAGAUCUUGUGAAGCUAUAUCCUGCAAUUGAAGAAAACUCUCAACUCCUACUUGCGCUCCGCCUCUUCCUCCUUUUCAUCGCUCAAUAGGAGGCAGUUCGUCUAGCCGUGCAGCAGACCGCGUCCUCAGCGGGUCGGUGACGGCAGUUGCAGCUGGUGCACGAUGACGAUUCCAACGACAACAGGAAUCUGCAACUUGUUAGACUUCUUUGCAACCCCAACAAGGCCCUCAUCUGCUUUGUCUACAUAUAUGCAUGAUUUCUAUGAUUGGAAUCAGAUAGCACUAACUAUGUGUCGGACUGCUAAUAUUUAUUUGUUUGAUGAUCCUUGAAGCGCACUCUAUGCUCAUACAUGAUCCCACAUAUUCCAGAUGCUUUCUUGAGGCUUUGGCUAAAAUCAGUGGUGUACGUCACUCAUCAGGUAACUAAUGACGGGCUAAUGCCUUAAGCUGGGACAUACAACAAAAUACUUAUUUUAUGGGAGGAGUUUAUGGAACCGGGUAGUGCUCAUCAGGAUGCUCUUGCAGCAAGUGACACAAUCGAUGUGUCUAAUGGAGCCAGUGAAUAACCUUGCCACCCUUCAGUAUGAAUAGUUGUUGCAACGGGGAAGAGCAUUUCUGCAAUAGCAAGAUAUCACGACCCAAUGGGCAUAGGCCGAACCAACCACCAUCACUAUUGCUUCAGGAUUAGAUAGCCAACUUCCACUCAUGAGCGUUGCAGCUAUAUUCGCACAGUGUCUCAUAUUAUGUGGUCCGAGAUUGCAAUUAUUUGGCUGAUUCAAACUUACUUUAUCUUCAAUGGAUUUGAACUCCAACCAAAUUCAAGUGAUGAAAGGGGAGCAAGCGGCAGAAGAUUGUGACAUUGUUGCUAUUUGGAGAUGCAUCAAAAUACAGACAAGGUCCUGCAUUUUGUGAAAGGUGCAAUAUUGAAUCUUCUUGCACUGAUCUAGAAUGGAUCGUGACUUCUCCCAAAAGUGAGAACAGGGGAGCAAGCGGCAGAAGAUUGUGACAUUGCUGCUAUUUGGAGACGCAUCAAAAUACAGACAAGGUCCUGCAUUUUGUGAUAGGUGCAAUAUUGAAUCUUCUUGCACUGAUCUAGAAUGGAUCUGACUUCGCCCGAAAGUGAGGGUGUGGUGUUGCUUUCUAAACUUGACUCAGUAUGCCACUCCAGACGCCUGUCCAGCCUCCCUCAGCAUGUGCUCCGCUCACCGGCGCUCGCCAUUGCCCUGCAUUGGUCGAGCCAUCGCUAGGAGUCUCCUUUUCCUAGCCCAGGUUCCGGAUGACAACUUAGUCACAUCACUACUGAAAUCAUAUCUCGGGAGCUAUCACCAUCACUAUUGUUUUAGUUAUAGAUCAUGUAAUUCAUUUGAAAUGCUUUCGAUCUUCUCAGGUCAUGUGGGAACAUAUCGUGGAAUGCAUUUGCUUUUUCUUCUCUGUGUCAUUCAAUUAAGUUCAUAGGUGCUUAAGAAAAUGGUCCAUGCCUUCCUUUGUUUUUUGCUAUUGAUGCAAGUUGAUUUAUUUUCACUUUCAGGCAGCUAGGCAGAUGGAGUUCUUCAUUUGGACAAGUAAAAUAUGGCAACUUCUCGUUGUUUCUCACCUCACAGUUACCAUGGAACUCUUGAAUUGGUUAGAGCUACUCUCUUGAAAAACAAACCUAUGUUUGAACCUCUGUCAUGUAUUUCUGUUUUUUAUAUCUUCCUGCAAAAGCUUUGGUCGAACUAUGAAAUUGCUACAUGAUUGCUUUUGUCGUAUUUCUCUUUUGAUUUGAUACCUUGGUUUCCAUCUCUAUGCAUUGUUUCUUCUACAUCGUUUGUCUGGUUUCGCAAGAAGGAUGCUUAAAGGUGCAACUCCUUCAUUUAUAUAGCCAUGCACGUUUCUUUUGCAAGUGGCUCCUCUUUCUCCAGUGGGUGCGGUUCGUGGGAGCUCGUGGGCGCACGACAUCUCUUGUUGGUGUAGUCUUUUGUUGGUUCCACUACAAUAGCCCGGAAACUUUAUGAAGUGCAAAAUCUUUCUGAGAACAAGAAACAUGGUUAACAGUGUACCUCAGAUCAAAUGGAUUUCAUGUAGGCACCAUCCUACUUUUUUAGUUGAUUGUCAAAGUAGUUCUGAUGUUUAUUUGUUUUGCAUGCAUAUUUUAAGUAUAAAGGUUGCCUUCCUUUGUUCCCAUUGGUUUUCUUUGAUCAAUGUAGUGAUCCACACUAAAACGUGUAUGAAAAUGUUUCUGCUGGGGCAUUUGUGCAUCAAGCCUAUGGAUAAGAAAAAUUAGAUAUAUGGGCUCUAAAA
Long non-coding RNA from Triticum aestivum (bread wheat), 7698 nucleotides. RefSeq lists it as uncharacterized. The transcript is spliced from 25 exons. Lineage: Eukaryota; Viridiplantae; Streptophyta; Magnoliopsida; Poales; Poaceae. The record is from RefSeq and is a predicted model, not a curated record.